Molecule: ribosomal RNA, 253 nt
Filed under: uncultured bacterium
Lineage: Bacteria
Description: partial 16S ribosomal RNA
Rfam family: Bacterial small subunit ribosomal RNA
Source: RNAcentral
UACGAAGGGGGCUAGCGUUGUUCGGAAUCACUGGGCGUAAAGGGCGCGUAGGCGGCUUUGUAAGUCGGGGGUGAAAGCCUGUGGCUCAACCACAGAAUUGCCUUCGAUACUGCAUGGCCUGAGACCGGAAGAGGUAAGUGGAACUGCGAGUGUAGAGGUGAAAUUCGUAGAUAUUCGCAAGAACACCAGUGGCGAAGGCGGCUUACUGGUCCGGUUCUAACGCUGAGGCGCGAAAGCUAGGGGAGCAAACGGG